GAUGAACGCUAGCGGCAGGCUUAACACAUGCAAGUCGAGGGGUAGGGUAGCAAUACCUGAGACCGGCGCACGGGUGCGUAACGCGUAUGCAAUCUACCUUGUACAGGGGAAUAGCCCAGAGAAAUUUGGAUUAAUGCCCCAUAGUAUAUAACCUUCGCAUGUUGGUUAUAUUAAAGUUCCAACGGUACAAGAUGAGCAUGCGUCCCAUUAGUUAGUUGGUAAGGUAACGGCUUACCAAGACGAUGAUGGGUAGGGGUCCUGAGAGGGAGAUCCCCCACACUGGUACUGAGACACGGACCAGACUCCUACGGGAGGCAGCAGUGAGGAAUAUUGGUCAAUGGUCGCAAGACUGAACCAGCCAUGCCGCGUGCAGGAAGACGGUCCUAUGGAUUGUAAACUGCUUUUAUACAGGAAGAAACCCUCCACGUGUGGGAGCUUGACGGUACUGUAGGAAUAAGGAUCGGCUAACUCCGUG
RNAcentral lists this ribosomal RNA (475 nucleotides) under uncultured bacterium. Its description in RNAcentral is "bacterial SSU rRNA". It matches the Rfam family "Bacterial small subunit ribosomal RNA", at positions 28 to 507 of the family's 1533-position model. The record is from RNAcentral.